This 497-nucleotide ribosomal RNA is filed under the name uncultured bacterium. RNAcentral's name for it is "partial 16S ribosomal RNA". It matches the Rfam family "Bacterial small subunit ribosomal RNA", at positions 28 to 507 of the family's 1533-position model. The record is from RNAcentral.
GAUGAACGCUGGCGGCGUGCCUAAUACAUGCAAGUCGAGCGAACAGAUAGGGAGCUUGCUCCUUUGACGUUAGCGGCGGACGGGUGAGUAACACGUGGGUAACCUACCUAUAAGACUGGGAUAACUUCGGGAAACCGGAGCUAAUACCGGAUAACAUUUGGAACCGCAUGGUUCUAAAGUGAAAGAUGGUUUUGCUAUCACUUAUAGAUGGACCCGCGCCGUAUUAGCUAGUUGGUAAGGUAACGGCUUACCAAGGCAACGAUACGUAGCCGACCUGAGAGGGUGAUCGGCCACACUGGAACUGAGACACGGUCCAGACUCCUACGGGAGGCAGCAGUAGGGAAUCUUCCGCAAUGGGCGAAAGCCUGACGGAGCAACGUCGCGUGAGUGAUGAAGGGUUUCGGCUCGUAAAACUCUGUUAUUAGGGAAGAACAAACGUGUAAGUAACUGUGCACGUCUUGACGGUACCUAAUCAGAAAGCCACGGCUAACUACGUG